CAGCAGCCGCGGUAAUACGAAGGGGGCUAGCGUUGUUCGGAAUCACUGGGCGUAAAGGGUGCGUAGGCGGGCGACUCAGUCAGGGGUGAAAUCCCGAGGCUCAACCUCGGAACUGCCUUUGAUACUGGUUGUCUUGAGUCCGGAAGAGGUGAGUGGAACUGCGAGUGUAGAGGUGAAAUUCGUAGAUAUUCGCAAGAACACCGGUGGCGAAGGCGGCUCACUGGUCCGGAACUGACGCUGAGGCACGACAGCGUGGGGAGCAAACAGGAUUAGAUACCCCCGUAGUCCCUGUCUCUUAUAC
Molecule: ribosomal RNA, 301 nt
Filed under: uncultured bacterium
Lineage: Bacteria
Description: partial 16S ribosomal RNA
Rfam family: Bacterial small subunit ribosomal RNA
Source: RNAcentral